CGGGGUGUGGUAUAAUGGUAGUACGCAAGGCUGGGGGUCUUGUAGCCGCGGUUCGAUUCCGCGCAUCCCGA
Molecule: transfer RNA, 71 nt
Filed under: Candidatus Falkowbacteria bacterium RIFOXYB2_FULL_34_18
Lineage: Bacteria; Candidatus Falkowiibacteriota
Also listed under: 4 other names
Description: tRNA-Pro
Rfam family: tRNA
About the family: Transfer RNA (tRNA) molecules are approximately 80 nucleotides in length. Their secondary structure includes four short double-helical elements and three loops (D, anti-codon, and T loops).
Source: RNAcentral